RNAcentral lists this ribosomal RNA (839 nucleotides) under uncultured eukaryote. Its description in RNAcentral is "SSU rRNA". It matches the Rfam family "Eukaryotic small subunit ribosomal RNA", at positions 635 to 1426 of the family's 1831-position model. The record is from RNAcentral.
CGGUGUUCAACUGGCGUGCCCGCGGGACGUCCUGCCGGUGAGCUCAGCCUGCGAGGGCGGCUCAACUUGAAAUCCCAUCGCGGUGCUCUUCAUUGAGUGUCGAGGUGGGCCGGCACGAUUACUUUUGAACAAAUUAGAGUGCUUAAAGCAGGCUAAAAUUUUGCCUGAAUACUGUGUAUAUGGAAUAAUGGAAUAGGACCUCGGUUCUAUUUUGUUGGUUUUCGGAACCCCGAGGUAAUGAUUAAUAGGAACGGAUGGGGGCAUUCGUAUUGCGACGUUAGAGGUGAAAUUCUUGGAUCGUCGCAAGACGGACUAAAGCGAAAGCAUUUGCCAAAAACGCUUUCAUUGAUCAAGAACGAAAGUUAGAGGUUCGAAGGCGAUCAGAUACCGCCCUAGUUCUAACCAUAAACUAUGCCAGCUAGCGAUCCGCCGACGUCCCUCUGAUGACUCGGCGGGCAGCUUCCGGGAAACCAAAGCUUUUGGGUUCCGGGGGAAGUAUGGUUGCAAAGCUGAAACUUAAAGGAAUUGACGGAAGGGCACCACCAGGAGUGGAGCCUGCGGCUUAAUUUGACUCAACACGGGAAACCUCACCAGGCCCAGACACUGGAAGGAUUGACAGAUUGAGAGCUCUUUCUUGAUUCAGUGGGUGGUGGUGCAUGGCCGUUCUUAGUCGGUGGAGCGAUUUGUCAGGUUAAUUCCGAUAACGGACGAGACUCUGACCUGAUAACUAGACGCACUUGCGGCAUCUCAAAGGUCCGCCGGCGGCUGGCUUUGCGCCCGUCGUCGCGCGCGAUUUUUACUGCCGGCGUACAAUAAAUUCUUCUUAGAGGGACAAGUGG